RNAcentral lists this ribosomal RNA (253 nucleotides) under uncultured bacterium. Its description in RNAcentral is "partial 16S ribosomal RNA". It matches the Rfam family "Bacterial small subunit ribosomal RNA", at positions 524 to 776 of the family's 1533-position model. The record is from RNAcentral.
UACAUGGGGUGCAAACGUUGCUCGGAAUUAUUGGGCGUAAAGCGCACGUAGGCGGUUCGUUAAGUCGGAUGUGAAAGCCCUCGGCUCAACUGAGGAAGUGCACCCGAAACUGGCGAGCUUGAGUACGAAAGAUGAUCGCGGAAUUCCCGGUGUAGAGGUGAAAUUCGUAGAUAUCGGGAGGAACACCGGUGGCGAAGGCGGCGAUCUGGGUCGAUACUGACGCUGAGGUGCGAAAGCGUGGGGAGCAAACAGG